AAAUUGAAGAGUUUGAUCAUGGCUCAGAUUGAACGCUGGCGGCAGGCCUAACACAUGCAAGUCGAACGGUAACAGGAAGCAGCUUGCUGCUUUGCUGACGAGUGGCGGACGGGUGAGUAAUGUCUGGGAAACUGCCUGAUGGAGGGGGAUAACUACUGGAAACGGUGGCUAAUACCGCAUAACGUCGCAAGACCAAAGAGGGGGACCUUCGGGCCUCUUGCCAUCAGAUGUGCCCAGAUGGGAUUAGCUUGUUGGUGAGGUAACGGCUCACCAAGGCGACGAUCCCUAGCUGGUCUGAGAGGAUGACCAGCCACACUGGAACUGAGACACGGUCCAGACUCCUACGGGAGGCAGCAGUGGGGAAUAUUGCACAAUGGGCGCAAGCCUGAUGCAGCCAUGCCGCGUGUAUGAAGAAGGCCUUCGGGUUGUAAAGUACUUUCAGCGGGGAGGAAGGUGUUGUGGUUAAUAACCGCAGCAAUUGACGUUACCCGCAGAAGAAGCACCGGCUAACUCCGUGCCAGCAGCCGCGGUAAUACGGAGGGUGCAAGCGUUAAUCGGAAUUACUGGGCGUAAAGCGCACGCAGGCGGUCUGUCAAGUCGGAUGUGAAAUCCCCGGGCUCAACCUGGGAACUGCAUUCGAAACUGGCAGGCUUGAGUCUUGUAGAGGGGGGUAGAAUUCCAGGUGUAGCGGUGAAAUGCGUAGAGAUCUGGAGGAAUACCGGUGGCGAAGGCGGCCCCCUGGACAAAGACUGACGCUCAGGUGCGAAAGCGUGGGGAGCAAACAGGAUUAGAUACCCUGGUAGUCCACGCCGUAAACGAUGUCUACUUGGAGGUUGUGCCCUUGAGGCGUGGCUUCCGGAGCUAACGCGUUAAGUAGACCGCCUGGGGAGUACGGCCGCAAGGUUAAAACUCAAAUGAAUUGACGGGGGCCCGCACAAGCGGUGGAGCAUGUGGUUUAAUUCGAUGCAACGCGAAGAACCUUACCUGGUCUUGACAUCCACGGAAGUUUUCAGAGAUGAGAAUGUGCCUUCGGGAACCGUGAGACAGGUGCUGCAUGGCUGUCGUCAGCUCGUGUUGUGAAAUGUUGGGUUAAGUCCCGCAACGAGCGCAACCCUUAUCCUUUGUUGCCAGCGAUUAGGUCGGGAACUCAAAGGAGACUGCCAGUGAUAAACUGGAGGAAGGUGGGGAUGACGUCAAGUCAUCAUGGCCCUUACGACCAGGGCUACACACGUGCUACAAUGGCGCAUACAAAGAGAAGCGACCUCGCGAGAGCAAGCGGACCUCAUAAAGUGCGUCGUAGUCCGGAUUGGAGUCUGCAACUCGACUCCAUGAAGUCGGAAUCGCUAGUAAUCGUGGAUCAGAAUGCCACGGUGAAUACGUUCCCGGGCCUUGUACACACCGCCCGUCACACCAUGGGAGUGGGUUGCAAAAGAAGUAGGUAGCUUAACCUUCGGGAGGGCGCUUACCACUUUGUGAUUCAUGACUGGGGUGAAGUCGUAACAAGGUAACCGUAGGGGAACCUGCGGUUGGAUCACCUCCUUACCUGAAAGAA
This 1552-nucleotide ribosomal RNA is filed under the name Salmonella enterica. RNAcentral's name for it is "bacterial SSU rRNA". It matches the Rfam family "Bacterial small subunit ribosomal RNA". The record is from RNAcentral. RNAcentral also lists the same sequence under 4 other names. Lineage: Bacteria; Pseudomonadati; Pseudomonadota; Gammaproteobacteria; Enterobacterales; Enterobacteriaceae.